GCUCGGGUGGCGAAAUGGCAUACGCAGAGCACUCAAAAUGCUCCGGGCUUCGGCCCAUGUGGGUUCGAGUCCCACCCCGAGCA
RNAcentral lists this transfer RNA (83 nucleotides) under Candidatus Cloacimonadota bacterium. Its description in RNAcentral is "tRNA-Leu". It matches the Rfam family "tRNA". Rfam says of the family: Transfer RNA (tRNA) molecules are approximately 80 nucleotides in length. Their secondary structure includes four short double-helical elements and three loops (D, anti-codon, and T loops). Further hydrogen bonds mediate the characteristic L-shaped molecular structure. tRNAs have two regions of fundamental functional importance: the anti-codon, which is responsible for specific mRNA codon recognition, and the 3' end, to which the tRNAs corresponding amino acid is attached (by aminoacyl-tRNA synthetases). tRNAs cope with the degeneracy of the genetic code in two manners: having more than one tRNA (with a specific anti-codon) for a particular amino acid; and 'wobble' base-pairing, i.e. permitting non-standard base-pairing at the 3rd anti-codon position. RNAcentral also lists the same sequence under 2 other names. Lineage: Bacteria; Pseudomonadati; Candidatus Cloacimonadota. The record is from RNAcentral.